Long non-coding RNA from Melospiza georgiana, 359 nucleotides. RefSeq lists it as uncharacterized. NCBI's taxonomy places the organism in Eukaryota, Metazoa, Chordata, Aves, Passeriformes, Passerellidae. The record is from RefSeq and is a predicted model, not a curated record. The transcript is spliced from 4 exons.
CAGUUCUUUUUUGCUGUCUCCUUGCCAGUGUUCCAUAGCUCUGCAGGUUUGUUUCCCUGUCAGUGUUCAGCAGUUCUCCAGGUUACAGUUAAUAUUGGAAUGGUUACCCUGAGCAAGUCCCUGUGUCACUUUGACAGUGGCCUAGGAAAUGCCUGGAAGAUGAGGCCCACUGGCAGUUUCAGAGUAACAAGAGGAUAAAUGAUGCUGAUCUUUCUCCACACAAUGACACCUUUAAGAGAGAAAGUUACAGUCCAAACCACAUGCAUUCAGAUUGUGCAGCGUUGUGUCCGUGAACUUCCAGAGUUUGCAUUAAAAAGUGACAGGACAUCAGAGUGCCAGAAGCUUCUCAUAUUGUGGCC